Molecule: ribosomal RNA, 484 nt
Filed under: uncultured bacterium
Lineage: Bacteria
Description: partial 16S ribosomal RNA
Rfam family: Bacterial small subunit ribosomal RNA
Source: RNAcentral
AUUGAACGCUGGCGGCAGGCCUAACACAUGCAAGUCGAGCGGAUGAAGGGAGCUUGCUCCUGGAUUCAGCGGCGGACGGGUGAGUAAUGCCUAGGAAUCUGCCUGGUAGUGGGGGAUAACGUCCGGACACGGGCGCUAAUACCGCAUACGUCCUGAGGGUGAACGUGGGGGAUCUUCGGACCUCACGCUAUCAGAUGAGCCUAGGUCGGAUUAGCUAGUUGGUGGGGUAAAGGCCUACCAAGGCGACGAUCCGUAACUGGUCUGAGAGGAUGAUCAGUCACACUGGAACUGAGACACGGUCCAGACUCCUACGGGAGGCAGCAGUGGGGAAUAUUGGACAAUGGGCGAAAGCCUGAUCCAGCCAUGCCGCGUGUGUGAAGAAGGUCUUCGGAUUGUAAAGCACUUUAAGUUGGGAGGAAGAGCAGUAAGUGAAUACUUGGCUGUUUUGACGUUACCAACAGAAUAAGCACCGGCUAACUUCGUG